GCCGUUGGCAUUUCUGGUUUGGCAAAACCCAAGCAGUAGCAGAUCAUAAUUCACCGUCGAAGCUCAGGUACUUUGAGCUCCUGAACUGAUCAGGGUCAAGAAGAACGCACAGAGAAUAUGAUUUUAGGCGGAAUAGAGGACGAAGACAAAUGGCUUGCCGAAGGAAUUGCCGCCAUUCAACACAACGCCUUCUACAUGCAUCGCGCUUUGGAUGCUAACAAUCUUAGAGAAGCUCUCAAAUACUCUGCUCAGAUGCUGUCGGAGCUCCGAACUUCGAAACUCUCCCCUCACAAAUACUACGAACUAUAUAUGAGAGCUUUCGAUGAAUUGAGAAGGCUGGAAAUAUUCUUUAAGGACGAGAGCAGACAUGGCGUUUCGGUCGUUGAUUUAUAUGAGCUCGUGCAGCAUGCUGGAAAUAUAUUACCUAGACUGUAUCUGCUGUGUACGGUAGGAUCAGUGUAUAUCAAAUCGAAAGAGGCUCCAGCCAAGGAUGUGCUUAAGGAUCUUGUGGAAAUGUGUCGCGGGGUUCAGCAUCCAAUUCGUGGACUAUUUCUCAGAAGUUACCUUGCUCAAGUUAGUAGAGAUAAAUUGCCAGAUAUUGGUUCUGAUUAUGAAGGGUCGGUAUACGCUGGUUGUUCACAUUUAUAUCAUUUUAAUUCAUAUACGCCGUUUGUCACAGACCGUAGAUAAGCGCAAACUACUUAGGCGGCGGAGUAAAGAGUAUUUCCUUUUUUUUUUCGUUGCCCAGUGGAGUUGUUAAAAUCAGGGAUCGACAGCUUCAAUUAGAUGCUGACACAGCCAUGGAUGAUGUAGAAUUUGUGCUACAAAAUUUCACUGAGAUGAAUAAACUUUGGGUUCAGAUGCAGUAUCAGGUUUGUCGUAUACCAGUGAGCCCAUGUUACUAUGUUUUUGACAUGCAUAGCAAGACGGUACUUGCAUGCCAUACAGGUAAACAAAUCAUGAAAGCAUAAUUUUUGGCCAGGCCGGUGAUUUGGUGCUUCUGAUCAUUUAUACUCUUUGGUGAUCCUCAGUUGAGGUCUUCAAUUGGGCUUUCUGGUCUGCAGGGGCCUGGUCAGGUUAACUGUAAAGAUGAGAUUGCACAGUAUUAUUUGAUGGACUGCAUAAUUCAGGUUUUUCCAGAUGAGUACCACUUGCUGACUCUUGAUGCAUUAUUAGGGGCUUGCCCUCAGCUUCAGGCUAAUUAAUUGCUUAUAAAUACUACCAGGUUUUCCCAUGAGCUGUUUAUGGCUGCCAAUUUCAGCCACCCUCCCAUGUUGUAGCACAGCAAUGCUAUCUGCAUCACGAAUGGUGGACAAUCUGUGGGCUACCAUAACUGUUGUUCGUCCUUCCAUAAGCUUAUCCAAAGCCUCUUGAACCAGCUUCUCUGAUGCAGUAUCCAAUGCGCUAGUAGCUUCAUCCAAUAGAAGAAUGGAAGGGUCCUUCAGUAUUGCUCUAGCAAUAGCCACUCUUUGUUUCUGCCCCCCAGAUAAUUGCAGUCCCCUAUCACCCACAUGAGUCUUGUACCCUUCAGGCAUUGUGCUGAUGAAUCCAUGAGCAUUUGCUGCUUUGGCUGCUUUCAUUAUCUCAAUUUCUGAGGCAUUUUCGUUUCCAUACUUGAUAUUUUCAUAAAUAGUUGUGGAGAACAGUGCUGGCUCCUGCUGAACCAGACCUAUUUUUAACCUCAGUGAUUUCAAAUUCAAGGUUUUAAUAUCACAUCCAUCAAUCAGGACUGUCCCAGAAAUGGGGUCAUAGAAUCUCAGUAUCAGGGAAAUUAUAGUGCUCUUCCCCGAACCACUUGGGCCUACCACAGCCAGACUUUUGCCUGCUGGAACUUUGAGGUUUAAAAGCUCAAAAAUGGUGAUAUCAAGCCUGGCAGGGUACUUGAAAUUCACAUUUCUGAAUUCUAUAUCCCCUUUGAUAUCAGUUACCACCUUCGAUGAGAGAUCGUUAGUGUCGAUAGCAGUUUUCCUGUGGAGAACAUUGAAAACGGAUCCAAGUGCUUGUGAACCCUUCACAAUGUCUGGUGUAAGAGCAAGCGUUUCUGCUAUAGCCAAUGCAGUGAUUAUCAAAACCAUGAAGGACUUUAUGAUAUGUCCAAAAUUGGAUUCUUUGUGUCUGAUUAGGACUGAUGCAUACCAAAGGCCGAGCGCAUAGGAACCAAAAGCGAAUAACUGGGUAAGGCCAUAGCCAAAACCCGAAAUAUGUCCCCUUAAAAGUGCUUGCUUGUUUGGUUUGUUGAGUUCAGAGGCAAAUUGAACAGAGAUUCUUUCUUCAGCCCCAAAUGCAGCAACAGUACGAAUAUUGGUGAGCGCUUCACGUGCCACUGCAGUUGCUCUAGAAUACGCAUGGUAGUCUCCUCCAAACCCCUUGAGAAAUAGUUGCUCAGCUAUGGAAGCUCCCACGAGCAGAGGUAAGGAGGCAACAACAACAGCUGCUAUGCGCCAGCUCAAUGUGAAAGCAAUAGCACAUGCUGUUACUGUAAGUGCUGCAUUCUGCACAAUUGUUGAGAGUCGGUCCGAAAGAGCACUGCGUACUAAGGUUGCAUCAGCAGAUAAAGCUGAUGUUAGCGAGCCAGUGUUAUUCUCUUCUAAAUCAAACCAGCCAAUCUCAUUGCAAAGGAUAGCUGAGAACAUUGACAAGCGAACGCGAGUGGUGAGACGCUCUCCCAUCAACGUGUAAAAGUAGUGUUGCAGAAGAUAUAUAGGAACGGUAACAACGGCCAAUCCAACAAAAAUAAGAGAUAUCCGUUGAAUCUCAUGUCUCAUUUCAGACGCAUCAUGGGAAUAAAAUGCUGUCAAUACAUGUGUAAUCCCCAGGGCGAACAGAGGAGCUUCCAUGCCAGCCAAAAUUGCACCUAGUGACCCAAGCAAAGCACAAGGCCACUCUGGUGCAUUUAGUUUUAGUAGUUCCAAAAUCGAUGGAGUGGGAGAAUGUUUUUGUAAAGGCAUACCAUCAUCUUUUGAUUGCAGCUCUCUUAUUGAGAUCGACUUAAAAUCCUGCUGGUUGUUUUGGCUGUGGGGAAGUUGUCGAAAGCUAGAAUUCCCAGAAGCUUCAGAACCACCUAUUGAAUUUGACCGUGUUGGAUGUUCUGAAACUUGCAAGCUCACAAGAGUUGCAUAGUCUCCUCCCUUUGUUAUCAAGUCUAAAUGGCUCCCACUCUCAGCAACUUGACCAUUCUUCAAGACAAUGAUGGUAUCAACAUCUCGAAUUGUUGAUAGGCGGUGUGCAACAAUAAUUGUAGUCCUAUUUGACAUGAUUUUAUUCAGUGCCUGCUGAACAAUGAAUUCUGAUUCUGCAUCAAGAGCACUAGUAGCCUCAUCAAAAAGUAAUAUCUUUGGGUUUCUCAACACUGCUCUUGCUAUAGCGAUUCUUUGCUUUUGUCCACCAGAGAGCUGAGUUCCUCCUUCCCCCACCUGAGUAUGAUAGCCAUCAGGUAAUUGUUGGAUAAAAGAAUGUGCAUUAGCAGCUUUGGCAGCUUGAACAAUCUUAUCCAUAUUUGCAUCUUCUUUACCAAACAGAAUGUUGUCAGCUAUGGUUGUGGCAAAUAAUGCAGGUUCCUGGCUCACCAAUCCCAUCUGUUCUCUCAGCCAUUUCAACCGAAGAGUCUUAAGAUCAUGUCCGUCCAAUAGUAUUUUACCUGAAUUGGGAUCAUAGAAACGUUGAACCAUGGAUAUAACAGUGCUUUUUCCUGAGCCACUGGGGCCGACAACCGCAAAGGUCUUCCCAGCACUUAUUGUAAAGCUCAGAUUUUCAAAGACCUUACUGGGUCGUGAGGGAUAAGCAAAACAGACAUUGGAAAAUUCAAUUUUCCCUUCUACUUUUGGCAAUUCUGAUCCAUGUUCUGACCUUUUAGAAGGGUUAGAGCCUGUUUCAAUCAUGUUAAUGAUAGUGGCAGCCGCAGCCCGACCUUUAGCAAUAGCAGCAAGGUUUGGAGCAGCUUGACCAAGAGCAAAUCCACUAAAAAUGACAUUGAUAAUCAUUGUGAAUGCUUUUGCCCCAUUUGUGAUGUGAUGCCUUACAAGUAUGCUGGAAUACCAGAGAAGCAUUGCCCAGGCACAAAACAAUAGUCCAUAAGUAAAUCCAACACCAACUCCUUUUGCAAUCCCACUUUUCUUCCCCAACUUAAGUGCGCUCGUAAGUGACCUCGAGUAUGCUUCUAUUGCUUUAUGCUCUCCCACAAAUGAAUAUACCGUGCGGAUUUGAGAAAUAACCUCAUCUGCAACCUUCCCAGCUUCAGCAUAUGCCGCCUCACCUUUUUCUGAUAAGGUAGACAUAAUUACAGUAUAAGCUCCCCCAGCAAUAGCUAUCAAUGGAACCACAGCCAAGGUGAGGAGUGUAAGUUGCCACACAGAUGCAAAUCCAAUAGCAAAUCCGACAAUGAAUUGACAAAGGUAGCGUAUGGCAUGGCCUGUCUUGUCACCUAUUGCAUCUUGCACUAGUAUUGCAUCACUGGAUAUGUGAUAUAUGAUGUUAGAAUCUCCUGCUUCUGUGUCAAAAAAAUUCAUGUCCUUUUUUAAUACAGAUUGAAAGUAUUCGAGUCGCAAACGAGCUGUCUGCCUUUCCCCAGUUUGCAUCCAAAACGCUACACCUGAAUGGAGAAUAUUAACAAUGAUGCUAAUUCCUGAGAAAAAGCUAAACAUUUCUCCUGAAAAAGACUGGAAUCAAGAAACAUACCAAUCCAAGCUGAUGCAAAAACGACAAGCCCCAGAUAUACUAAAUACAACGCAUGCUGCAACAAAUGAUAGACUUCAAAUGCUUUCUUUUCAUCCAGAAAAAUGAAAUGCAAGGACUAACAGGCUAGGAUUUGGAAGAUUAACUGCUUGAAUCCCUUAAUUUUAACAAACUAAAGUAACAGAACACAGAGUGAUUUAGUUCAGAUCAUACCCUGGAAACCUGUGAAGACAUUUUGUGAGGAUCCAAAGCUAAAUUUCCAAGAGAAUCAAUCAUACGACCAAAAAAGAUAAAGAAUACAGGAAGAGCAGCACCAUGGAUGCAUGACCCGACACUUCCCAAAAACAUCAAGAAAUAAUCAAUUCUAUCAGCAGCAGAAAAUAAACCAAAGAAAGAAAUACUUGGCCUUUCUUGGUCCAUUUUUGAACGUGAAUUCUGAUCUAAUUCCUGAUCAGAAGCAAGCUCCAACGCUUCCAUGGCGAAAAUUGAUAUCAAAAGUGAAGCAGAAAAGGACAAAUUGAUUCACAAAUAGCCCGUGGAGGAUGAGUAGUCUACUCCCUCCAAUAAAUGUAAAGAUCUAUAUAACUAACUAGCCAACUAACAA
Molecule: unclassified non-coding RNA, 5275 nt
Filed under: Hevea brasiliensis (rubber tree)
Lineage: Eukaryota; Viridiplantae; Streptophyta; Magnoliopsida; Malpighiales; Euphorbiaceae
Source: RNAcentral